Molecule: non-coding RNA, 488 nt
Filed under: Pongo abelii (Sumatran orangutan)
Lineage: Eukaryota; Metazoa; Chordata; Mammalia; Primates; Hominidae
Source: RNAcentral
GGGCCCAGGGAAAAAAGGCUUGGCCUCAUAGAAGCGGCAAAGGGCUCCUGGGGCAUCUGCAGCCUCCCAGGCCAACAAAAAAGUGGGGGCAGGGAGAGAUGGAGCCGCAAGUUGAGAGGUGUCACAAAGCUGGGAAUGAGGAAAGAGAUCAGGUGCUGGCAGACGCCAGACCCAGAAGAUGCUGUGUAGUCGAGGCUCCAGGUUCCAUGCCAAGGGGCCGGAUUCUCCCUGGUAGUAAACCAUCUCUCAGUCUCUCCUCCAACUAGUAUGUUGGCAACUAAUGGCCUUAAGUUUUCCACAGCCUGGCUUCAUCUUGAGAUGGCUAUUCGUAGAAGUCGCUUUCCCGUUUGCCUGGGCCUCGCCUGCACUCCAGUCCCUGCCUAGGGGCAGUGGUCCCUGUCUCCAAAAGUGGAUGGCAUUUGAGGUAGAAGAGAGUGAAGUCGCUGAAAAUGCCCUAAAACAGCAAGGAAGAAGCUGGAAUAAAACUC